This 494-nucleotide ribosomal RNA is filed under the name uncultured bacterium. RNAcentral describes it as "bacterial SSU rRNA". It matches the Rfam family "Bacterial small subunit ribosomal RNA", at positions 353 to 866 of the family's 1533-position model. The record is from RNAcentral.
AGUGGGGAAUAUUGGACAAUGGGGGCAACCCUGAUCCAGCCAUGCCGCGUGAAUGAUGAAGGCCUUAGGGUUGUAAAGUUCUUUUACCGAUGAAGAUAAUGACGGUAGUCGGAGAAAAAGCCCCGGCUAACUUCGUGCCAGCAGCCGCGGUAAUACGAAGGGGGCUAGCGUUGUUCGGAUUUACUGGGCGUAAAGCGUACGUAGGUGGUCUUGCAAGUCAGUGGUGAAAUCCCAGAGCUUAACUCUGGAACUGCCAUUGAAACUGCAAGGCUUGAAUCUCAGAGGGGGUGGCGGAAUUGCUAAUGUAGGGGUGAAAUCCGUAGAUAUUAGCAGGAACACCGAUGGCGAAGGCAGCCACCUGGAUGAGUAUUGACACUGAGGUACGAAAGCGUGGGGAUCAAACAGGAUUAGAUACCCUGGUAGUCCACGCUGUAAACGAUGAAUGCUAGUUGUUGGGGGGUUACCUCUCAGUGACGAAGCUAACGCAUUAAGCA